CCCGGAAGUUGACGGUGGCAGUUCUAGCUCCAUGCGUUUGAACUUUCUACUAAAACUUUCUACUGUCCGUUUCUACCGGUUGUCGUAUUCGCCGGUAAUGCACGUGCGUAUUAUUAGAGGGGUAUUCCACUAAGCGAGCUCUACAAGUCAAGACUGGGCAGUGGGUCCAUGAAUAAACUGCCUCACUCCUGCAGGUGUCUGUCCAUACUUCCCAUCGUUCAAGAACCAAAAGAUGGCUGCUGCCCAGAAGCAUGUGCUGCAUGUGUAUGUUGAGCGAGACACCGCCCUGAAACUUACUCUACUUGAGCGACCAAAGUCAGUGGAGGAGCUGAAAGAAAUAAUUCAAGAGAGGUUCAAGCCAAGACUGAAUGGGGACUUUAGCCUUCACUAUGUCCUCAUGGACACAACCUAUGCCCUAUGUCGCCAAGAAAU
This is a long non-coding RNA of Oreochromis aureus, 432 nucleotides long. The record is from Ensembl. NCBI's taxonomy places the organism in Eukaryota, Metazoa, Chordata, Actinopteri, Cichliformes, Cichlidae.